UGAGGAAUAUUGGUCAAUGGGCGGAAGCCUGAACCAGCCAAGUCGCGUGAGGGAAGACGGCCCUAUGGGUUGUAAACCUCUUUUGCCGGGGAGCAAAGCCGCCCACGUGUGGGCGGAAGGAGAGUACCCGGAGAAAAAGCAUCGGCUAACUCCGUGCCAGCAGCCGCGGUAAUACGGAGGAUGCGAGCGUUAUCCGGAUUUAUUGGGUUUAAAGGGUGCGUAGGCGGCCAUGUAAGUCAGCGGUCAAAUCGAGGGGCUCAACCCCUUUCCGCCGUUGAAACUGCGUGGCUUGAGUGGGCGAGAAGUAUGCGGAAUGCGUGGUGUAGCGGUGAAAUGCAUAGAUAUCACGCAGAACUCCGAUUGCGAAGGCAGCAUACCGGCGCCCGACUGACGCUGAGGCACGAAAGCGUGGGGAUCGAACAGG
This 424-nucleotide ribosomal RNA is filed under the name uncultured bacterium. Its description in RNAcentral is "bacterial SSU rRNA". It matches the Rfam family "Bacterial small subunit ribosomal RNA", at positions 355 to 776 of the family's 1533-position model. The record is from RNAcentral.